RNAcentral lists this long non-coding RNA (9954 nucleotides) under Vitis vinifera (wine grape). RNAcentral describes it as "long non-coding RNA (VVIN_LNC004635)". The record is from RNAcentral. Lineage: Eukaryota; Viridiplantae; Streptophyta; Magnoliopsida; Vitales; Vitaceae.
AAGCUUUUAGGUCAAUUCUUUUGCGCUUAACCCAAAAUUCUUAGAUUGUUUGUGAUUCUUUUUAUUGGGUUCAUGAGAGAGAUUCACAUCCCCUCAAGAUGUUGAGAGAGAUUCCCAAUGGUGUUGCAUCACGGAUAUGUGAUUAGGUGUAGGUUCAGGGGUGUAAUUCUCAGGGAAUAGCAAUCAUCAGGUAAAUUUGUGUACCUUUUCUUUGUAUUUAGUGGAUUGUAGCUCUACGGUCUUUGAUAUUGUGUUUUUUACAUCUGCAAAGUCUCUUUAAUGUAAGACAGAUAGAUGUUCAAUGUCCCACAUUGGUAGAUUACUAACAUUGGUUAGGCCUUAUUUUAAGGGCUACCUCUAUCUCCCAUUAGCUUAAGCUUUUGGGAGUGUAUGUGGUCCCACAUCAUUUGGUAUCAUAGUGAGGUUUGGCUUUACUCACCACAUGCUCGCCAACGUAAACGUCAGCUAUUGAGUUGAGGUGUCUGAUAUAGGGCAAACGAAAGUCUAACAUCCUACAUCAGCUAAUUACUAACAUUGGUUGAGCCUUAUAUGAGGGGCUACCUCUACCCUCCACUAGCUUAAUUUUUGGGGGUGUAUGUGCUCUCGCAUCAUUCUGGGAGACUUUAUGGGUGUUUUUCCAAGUAAACCAUCAUCUUUUAUUCUUAAAGAGAAAUUUUAAAAAUAAAUUUUUUGACCAAAAAGUAAGAACUACCUAUUCACCCCCUGUAGGUAUUCUAUAAGCAAGAUCUAGAAUGUUCACAAAGCCGUAGAUUUAUGUUCUAUGACUAAAAUAUAAGAUAAAAUCAAUUGUGCAUUCAUUAUUAAUUUCCUUAAGGGAUCACAUUAGAUUACUUCUGUGCCAUGAUUAUUUAAUAUUUCCAAACCUAUAAAAUAUGCUAAUAGGAACUUAAUGAAAUGGAAAUCAUUUUAGCUGAUGAAUUUUCUAUAUAUUUCAUCAAAGAAUCUAUUGCAGGAAUUUGAUCAAAUAUCAGUAACAUAUUGUAUUGAUUUUGUCAAACUGUUUGCUUGAAUUAGGGGAGUAGAAGUGUAAUUCUUUGUAGAUAUGGAUACUUUAUUUAUGUAGUAAUUGUAAAUUUGAUGGAACAUAUUUAUUUUGUCUGAGAUUUCCCAGGUUGCAUUCCCUUGGAAGAAUUGAUACUGGAUGGCAGUAGAAUCAUAGAAAUAUGGCAAGAGCAAUUUCCAGUGGAGUCCUUUUGCAGACUAAGGGUUCUGAGUAUAUGUGAGUAUAGAGAUAUUUUGGUUGUCAUUCCAUCUUCUAUGCUUCAAAGAUUACAUACGCUGGAAAAACUCACUGUGAGAAGCUGUGGUUCAGUGAAAGAGGUAGUCCAACUUGAGGGACUUGUUGAUGAGGAAAAUCAUUUCAGAGCACUUGCAAGGUUAAGGGAAUUAGAGUUGAAUGAUCUGCCUGAGCUGAAAUAUUUGUGGAAGGAAAAUUCUAAUGUAGGCCCUCAUUUUCAAAAUCUUGAGAUUCUUAAAAUAUGGGAUUGUGACAACUUGAUGAAUUUGGUGCCAUCCUCAGUGUCUUUCCAUAAUCUAGCAAGUCUAGACAUAUCCUACUGUUGCAGUCUGAUAAAUUUGCUACCACCCUUGAUAGCUAAAAGUCUGGUGCAACACAAAAUAUUCAAAAUAGGUAGAUCAGAUAUGAUGAAGGAAGUAGUUGCCAAUGAAGGAGAGAACGCAGGAGAUGAAAUUACUUUCUGCAAAUUGGAAGAAAUUGAGCUUUGUGUUUUGCCAAACCUCACAAGCUUCUGUUCAGGGGUUUAUUCAUUAUCAUUCCCAGUCUUGGAACGUGUGGUGGUGGAAGAAUGCCCUAAGAUGAAAAUUUUCUCUCAGGGCCUCUUGGUUACACCAAGGCUAGACAGAGUAGAAGUUGGAAAUAAUAAAGAGCAUUGGAAGGAUGACCUUAACACCACUAUCCACCUGUUAUUUAACACAUGGUACGUGCUGAUUCAUCAAUCUUCAUUGUGUCCCUUAACUUUUAUGGUGAUCUUGUUUGUAGUGCAGUAGAAAUUUUUUAUGUUCCAUUUAUAGAUGGAUGCUUUUCCUAGCAUAAAAUUUGUUUAGUAGCUUAGAAUAAUUGCAAUUGAAGUGUAGCUGAACAACCCCUGUCUUGAAUCACCAAAUUAAGGUGGGCCUCUCUGGCCAAUGUUACAAAGAUCAGUCUAGUCAGAGGCAUAUUCCAAGCACAUUUCUUUCACUAAAGGAAUUGAAAGCAAGUCAGAACCAUGGUUCAUUUUUAAGUGUUCAAUUGUCAAAACCGUGCUCCCAGUCAACAUCAAAUAACCCACAACUGCAAAUUAUUGGGACUUCCCUUGAUUUAUAAUUUUUUCCUAAUGAAUGUACCUACUAAUCAUGCAUAACUUCACUGAUUCUCACCUUUUCUACUCUCAUGUUCAAUGUGUGCUGAAUUUCCAGGAUUUGGACACUGCAUUGACUUCUCUAAUUCAUUUGUAUUUCAAUAAUGGUAGGACCUUUCAUCUUCACUGUCUAUUUCUUAGGUGCAGAGGAUGAGUAUUAAGCUUUUCUUCACUUUCAGUGAAUGUUAAACAGUGUUGCUGUCAGAGAGACACUGCCAAUCUUGUUUGAUUCAUUAAGAUCAAAGUCAACUGCAAUUCGUACUUAACAUGUUAUUGUUAUACCUAUUAGCAGCCAUCAAAAUGAAAGCUUGUGGCUCUUUUCUGAAAUAUUUAUCCUAUGAUCAAGGAAAUGCUAUUGCAGAAUGUUUUAUUCAUAUAUUUUGAAAUAAAUAUGAAAGCUCUAUUCAGAAACAUAAGAGGUUCUUCGAAUUGUAUAUCACAUGAAAAACCCAGUGAGAAUGGUCUCUUAUUAUAGAAUGUCACUGUUAUUGAGCUUUCCAAUGCUAGAUGCUUUGUGAUAUUUUGAUGCUGGGAUGUGUAAAUACCCUGAAUCUGAGAUGUAGCCUAACCUUCUCUAAGCCAAUGCCGGAUACCAGGAUGUUGUGUCAUUCUGAUUGCUUAAUACCAUGAUUUCAAUUUCGCUGUUAUCAUGUUGAAUUGAUUAUUUUAUUAGCUAAUAAAUCAAUCAACUUAAAGGGAUGUUUUGGAAUAAAUUGAAAAUGAUGCUAUUUGUGAAUACAAAUUUUAUGUAAUCUGCUUGAUCAUAUUUUGAACUCCCACUCAUAGUAUUGUGUUUGUUUUCUUUUAGGCGAUUGUGAUCUUGAGAUUGUGGAAUUGGGAGCUGCUUCAGCAAUGCGAUUACACCAUGUCUAGUUCUUGUGCAACUUCAGUUGCUGCUGUUGUCAAGUUGUGGGGUUGAGGAAAUUGUUGCAAAGGAAAAUGGGAUAGAGACAAUGCCUAGUUUUGUAUUUCCUGAACUGAAGAAUCUGACACUUCACCAUCUAGUACCCAGGAAUACAUACUUUGGAAUGGCCAUUGUUGAAACAACUUAGAGUGGAUAAAUAUUUUAAAGUCAACUUAUGUGGAUACAGAAUUCCAACAUUCCAAGGAAUACAUCUGGAGGGAAACUCCAACAUACAACAGCCCCCUAUCAUGGCCCAACAGGCAAGAGCCCUGUCUUCAUCUCUUCAAGUUUCUUUAAAUUUUAGAUCAAUAAUUCUUGAUAUGCCAGCACCAUGCAUAUAGAAACAUAAAUAUGAUUGACUUGGGAAAAUUUAUGUCAUACUCUUUGAAUAGUAGAAAAUAAUCCUGAAUGUAGUGUAAGAUUUACACUACUACUCUGAUCAAAUUGACUUUUUUUCCCCUCUUGGGCACAAGAGGGACUCAUCUAAUCAUAAAGGUUUGAUAAUUUAUUGUUGAAUAGAACAUGAUUUUAAUUACUUGAGGAUUGCGGGACUUGAGGUAAUCCAAACCCUUGGACUUGUGCUCUAUUAUUAAAAAGUGUCAGUCACAUUAGCUUUAUUACUGUGGCAAUCAUUAUUAAUUUCCUUAGGGGAUCACAUAGGAUUACUCCUACCACUAUUAUUUCAUAUUUCCAAGCCUAUAAAUAGGAACUUGAUGAAAAUGGAGAUCAUUUUAGCUGAUGAAUUUCUUAUAUAUUUCUUGAAAGAAAUCUAUUAGGAGAAUUUGGUCAGGGGAAUAAAAUUGUACUUCUUUAUUGACAAAAUUGUUGGAUUAUGUUUGUCCAGCCCACGAGCCCAUAUAUUAGGCAAUUUUAUAUUUGGGUAUUCUUUAAGCCCAAAUAUAUAUAUAUAUAUAUAUAUAUAUAUAUAUAUAUAUAUAUAUAUAUGUAAAUAGCAUUAGGGCUUUGGUAUUAAGGAGAGAAGGGGAAGAUCAUGGUUGUUUUUUGGGCACUGUUUUAGGGUUCAAGGAUGAAGGAAUAGGUUCCUUGAUCAACCUUUUUGGGAAUUUCUAUGGUAUGUUUUCUCUCUGAUUUCAUUCUAUUAAUUGUUUUAUAGGAUGAUGGAUUCUCACCUCAAGCAUUGAGAUAUUUAUACAAGUUUUAAAAGUGGAGAAACUAGUGAGGACUUAAUUAUUGUAUCCCUAUUUUAUUGAAGUGGAAGAAAUUUUCUCUGUGGUUUUUUACCUCUAUUUGAAGGGUUUUUCCACAGUAUAUUUGGUGUCCCAUUUUUUUGGUUGAAUGUUCUUGAUUAUCAUUCUUUAUUUUUGUUAUGUUGUUAUUAUUGUUGAGUGGUGGUUAUUAUUGCAGAGGAAUCUUUUAACGGGCAGGUGAAUACUCUAGAUCUCUCCCUUUAUCUUCCCAACAAAAACAAAAACUUAUUUUGUUUGAGCCAUUUCCCAGGUUGCAUGGCCUAACUUGGAGGAAUUGAUACCGGAUGGCUAUUUUUAUCACCGAACUAUGGCAAGGGCAAUUUCCAGUGGAGUCCUUUUGCAGACUAAGAGUUCUGAAUAUGUGUGAAUAUAGAGAGAUUUUGUUUGUCAUUCCAUCCGUUAUGCUUCGAAUAUUACACUCCAGCAAGAAGCUGUGGUUCUGUGAAAGAGGCGGUCCAACUUGAGGGGCUAGUUGAUGAGGAAAAUCAUUUCAAAAUCUACUUGAGCUGAAAUAUUUGUGGCAGGAAAACUCUAAGCUAGGUCCUGAUUUUCAAAAUCUUGAGACUAUUCAAAUAUGGAACUGUAACAACUUGCUAUAUUUGGUACCAGCCUCAGUGUCCUUGCGGAAUCUCGCAACUCUAGACAUAUGGUCUUGUAAUAAAUUUGUUACCUGCCCUCAAUAGCUAAGAGUCUGAUGCAACUCAAAAAUCACAAAAUAGAGGGAUGAGAUAUGAUGGAAGUAGUUGCCAAUGAAGGAGGGGAAGAAACAGAUGAAAUUACUUUCUGUAAAUUAGAAGAAAUGGUGCUCCGUCACUUGCCAAAUCCCCAAGAUGAAAAUUAUCUCUCAGGGCCUCCUGGCUACACCAAAGCUAGAGAGAGUAGAAGGGGCAGAUGAUGAGGGGCGCUGGAAGGAUGACCUUGACAACACCAUCCAACAGUUGUUGAUAAAGGCAUAUGGUUCGUUCUGACUCAUCAAUCUUCAUUUAUCGUGACUUUUUUCUUAUUGCACUAGAACUCCUACCAGGGAAUUUGUUCAGUAGCUUAGAGUGAUUGAAAUUCUAGUGUAGCUGAACAAACCCUAUUUUGGAUCACCAAAUUUAUGUGUGCCCUUGUGGCCAUGUGUUACAAAGAUCCAUCUAGCUAGAGGCCUAUCCAAAACACAUUCUGUUACCAAUCCUAAUAAAAUAUAGCCAAUAUCAAUUAUCCUUUUUUAUUUUAUUAGGGAACUUCCUCAAUUAUGGAUCACUUGGUUUUAUAUCUAUAGCCAUAAGACAAAUAAUAUCUAAUAUGAUCUCAAACCAUCUAAAUAUAAAUUCACCAGUGUACUAUUGACUUAAACCAAGCCAUUGUCAUGCCCAUGACCUUUUGUAGUAAGAAACAUUGCUAAAGCCGCUAUUAAUAGUAGAAUCAAAUCUCGGGUUGGGUUUUAUGCGGGUUUGACAUGGGUUAGCCUUCUAAUUAGCUCAAGUUGCAACUAUAAUUAAAGGCACAUCUGAACCUUCUUCUCAACCAUACCUCGUAAGUUUUUCUACUAUGUUUUUUUUUUUUUUUUAUUCUAUAUUUCUUAAAACACCUAAUUUCAUGGUCAUUCAAAACAUCCAUCAUAAGCUUAUAUCAUAUGUGGGAAAAACUUCUUCAAGGUUUCUUGUGAGGCAUAUGUAGUAUCAAUUAGGUGUUUGGAUUAGAGAGAGGGGCUUAAUCGAAGAGGUUAAACGGAGAGGUUGCCGUGAAUUUUUACCAUCUACAUCUAUAAAUUGACUACACACUCCCCAGGAUCUACCUGUUAUUACGUUUGCACCACUAGUCAGCAUUACCUUACCACCUCUGAAACACCACACUCCGAUCAUGGUUUCCCUAAGAGCUACCAGCUACUGUAGAUUUCAUCUACUCUACUUGUAGCACCACUUAUUGGGUCAUUGCCAUAGGCUUUGGUGAUGCUCAGUGAUGCGUGUAGAGGUCAACCCAUUACUACCUCACAAACAAGGGAUGAAGAUUUUACAAAAAUCUUCAGUGCAUGAGUAACUUCCUGAAAGAAGCAAUAACAGAAUGCAAAAUCAGCAAUGAACAUAAUGAGAAAGAUAGCCGAAAUUGUUGAUUCAUCAACUCCUUUAGCACCUCCCAUGGUAGAAUUGCCACAUGCAUAGCCUGAGGGUAAAGCUAAUACCCAUGAAUCUGUUUAAUUCCAAUGUAGUGAAUUCUCUAACAAAAUUGGAUGGUAAAGGCAUACAAACCAAACCCGAGGUUGAGGUUCAGAGAUGGACCCCAAGUGAUGAGUGAAAGUAAAGAACAAAAGUUAUCUUGAAAAGCAAAAAAAAUAUUAUCAUUAAUAAGGGUCCUGGAUUUGCAGAUUAAAGAAGCAUUAAAAUUAGCAUAGGCACUUACAUGUGACCAACUUGAGAGAAUCACCUUCCAUUAAAAUAAAAGUUCAGAAUUUGUUUAUGCCUCAUCAGCUAGCCUCACUCUCAAUCACUAUAAAAUGACCUCCACUGUUACAUGGACUACCAACUAAUGUUUAGUUUAUUACUGACCCUGACAUGCAUAUCCCUAAUUUGAAUAGAAAAAUAAAAUUGGACUAAAUAUAUUUAGUUACUUUUCAUUGAAUCAGAACAAGAUAAAUAUCUCAAAAGGCAUCUUACACAUGAGAAAAUGUAAGGCUAAAAAGUAGAGAUAAACUAUGAAUCUGCAUGGAGACAAAAAAGAAAAAAGGAAAAGGAAACAACUGUGAGAUAUAGUAGUGGAGUUUCUGAUUAGAAGCAAUUUAUAGCUCUUUGAAAGUUUAGAUACCUACCUGGAAACUUGACUAAUGGGGUUUCCAAUCAUCAGAAAUAUUAUGCUAUCUAUCUUGGAUACCCAUUAUAUCGAAUACCAUAUCAUGAUCACCACUGUGGGCAGACAAAAAAAAAGCUGAUAAGAAAAUUUUGGAAAAUUUUAACAUGAGCUUGGUACUUUACUAUAUAUAGCAUAGAAAUUAAUCUUAUCAUUCAUGACAUCAAGACUAAAACAGGAAUAUAUCUUCAUGCAUAUAAGCUGCAUGUAGUUACCAACAAUAGGAUCUUCUAUUAAGCUACUAUUUACCAUCACAUGAUGUUAAAAAGCUUUAAUCUAUGAAAGGUUAUUAGUCGGAAGUUGGAACCUCAUCCAUAUUUAUUCCUUAUUUAUGGAGCCUACAUGAAGACCUAAAGAUAUAUGGUUCACUUGUCACCUAAAAGCUUAAACUUUUAGCCCAAAUUAGAAGCUUAAUAUGAUAUUAGAGCAUGGUUUUGAGCCUUUUUAUGAUUAACUUCUGAGUUUGCCUUCAUUUCGUUCUUUUGACAACUUCUAAUCAUGAUUUUGAUCCCAUUUUUUAGUAACUUCUACAGACCAUUCCUACUUGUUUUUCGACAACUUCUGAAUAUGGUUUUGAUCCAUUCUUCAAUUUUCACAACUUCUAAUCAUGUUUCUGGGACAAUUAUUUGUUUUGUCUCCAUUUGUUUGGCCUUUUUCAACAAUCAAAAGAUCAAACAAUCCUUGGUGUUGAUUGUUGAUAUCUUCAUUAAAACAGUUCCUCGGCCUCCACAAAAUCUUAUUGCUAUAAAAUUAAUGCCCUAUUCUCUCAGCAUCAAUUUGAGAAAAGUAGAAAGACUAAAAGAGGAACAUAUUUUCCUAUAUGGGUUGUUGUAAUUAAGUUGUCUAUACUGACCAACAGGAGAUUCUAAUUGAGCUACUUUAGGUAAUAGUGAAUUGUGGUUGAUUUGAUAACUUAAUCAUAGCCGAUAUUGUAAUCAAUUCUUUGGGGGCAGUAGUAUAUAUAGUGGAUUCUGAAGAAAGGUAGACUUUUUUCUUACUUAUCUUUUGAAAUUUUUGUCUUUUAAUUUUUAUCCAAUUACAUAUAGCAGAUUAUAUAAGGAACAAUUUGAAGUAUUGAAACUUUCAUCAAUGAGAACAGUUGCAAUUGAUCUGGUAAAUCGGUUAGCAGAAUAGAUAUUAUUUCAAUGUAAUUGAAAUUCAACAAACAUAGAAACCACCAGUAUGAUUCCAAGUUUACCAAUUUUACUAAAAUAGUACUCGGUAUAAAGUAUGAUACCAUAGUACCUGGAAGUUUAUUAACUGAAGAACAAGAUUUCUCAACAUGACUGGGAGUAAGCUGAGUAACGCUUCCACCAAUGCAUCAAUUAUCAUCCUGAACAGCCAUCAAAAAAUAAGGAGGGAUAUAAUGAAACAAAGAAUCAAUACAAAGAUGAGAAAACACCCAACAUUGUUUCUCGAACCAACUCUCUUUCUCACAUGCUGCUAACCGUUUCUCAACUGUUUCAAGCAUUUCUUUCCAGAUAAAACCUUCCUCUUUAACCUCGGCAACUUGAUGCUCAAUUUAUUCAAGGACAAAAAACCAUGGACAGCUCCUGCAACAAAAGGGAUGUUACAAAAGCAAUCAAUAAAUCAUAAACAUAUCAGCAAUAUUAAACUUCUAUAUUAUAAAAGUCUAAUGGCAGACUCCAUAGCAUCAAUUACAUAUUCCAUUGCUCUAUCUGCUUCUAGGACCACAUUUGCCUUCCUACAAAUCCCUUCUAGCUGUGAACUCUCUUCUAGCUGUGAACUCUUCUUUAGAACAAGCCCUUUCAUUUUCCUUGUUUUCAGCUAUUCCAACCAAGAAACUUCUACCUCAACCUGCACAAUGAAUUUACUUUUCCUUUACAUCCUAGAACAAAAUCCAUCCCCAUGUUGCAUAAUAAAAAUAUGUAACAUAAGAUCAAAAUUAUAUAGAACUUCAAAGUUGAUAUUUUGCAUCCAUCAACCAAAUGAGACCUAGAAAUGCAUGUUUAGAAUUAGCAUAUGGAACUCAACCAUUUGCAGAGUACUUUUUUCCAAAACAUUCCAUUCACCAAAAACAUUAACCAAUUCACAGGAAUUUUCCAAAUUCUGCUUGAAGUGACUCAUGUAUAGAUGGAUGGGUUGUAAUGGCCAAGGAUAAAGCCAUUAUGUAAUACAACAAGGUCCAAUAUGAAUCCAGUUCCCCUGUAAAUCACAUUCUUUUACAUUGUACAGUGGUCAGGGUCCUGUGGGAGAUCGUCCUUGCCUUGUUUGGGGCUCAGUGGGUGUUCCCAAAGACGGUUAAAGAGGUGUUAUUUUGUUGGAGGGGCCCUUUUGUGGGUAAAAAGAGGAAAAAGAUUUGGAAUUCCAUCCCGUUGUGUAUUUUUUUGACGGUUUGGAAGGAAAGAAAUAGGCUAGCUUUUAGAGGGGGUUCUUUAGCUAUUCAGACACUCAAGAAUUCUUUUGUAUGUAGUUUGUGGAGUUGGGCUAGGGUGUAUAUGGGAGAGGAGUCCUCUUCGCUUUUAGGCUUCUUGGAGUGGUUAGCAGCUCCUUAAGGGCUGGUGAGGUUGUUCUGUUUAUGCCUUUUUUGCUUUGUGGAUGCUUUGUAUACUCCCUGUAUGCUUUGUGGCUUUCCGCCCUUUUUUAAUAUAUUUUGUGCUCAUUUAUAAAAAAAAAA